AUUGAACGCUGGCGGCAGGCCUAACACAUGCAAGUCGAGCGGAGCGGCGGACGGGUGAGUAAUACCUAGGAAUCUGCCUGGUAGUGGGGGAUAACGUUCGGUAACGGGCGCUAAUACCGCAUACUAUCAGACGAGCCUAGGUCGGAUUAGCUAGAUGGUGGGGUAAAGGCCUACCAAGGCGACGAUCCGUAACUGGUCUGAGAGGAUGAUCAGUCACACUGGAACUGAGACACGGUCCAGACUCCUACGGGAGGCAGCAGUGGGGAAUAUUGGACAAUGGGCGAAAGCCUGAUGCAGCCAUGCCGCGUGUGUGAAGAAGGUCUUCGGGUUGUAAAGCACUUUAAGUUGGGAGGCGUUACCAGCAGAAGAAGCACCGGCUAACUUCGUGCCAGCAGCCGCGGUAAUAC
RNAcentral lists this ribosomal RNA (407 nucleotides) under uncultured bacterium. RNAcentral's name for it is "partial 16S ribosomal RNA". It matches the Rfam family "Bacterial small subunit ribosomal RNA", at positions 30 to 526 of the family's 1533-position model. The record is from RNAcentral.